GAUGAACGCUGGCGGCGUGCCUAAUACAUGCAAGUCGAGCGAAUGGAUUAAGAGCUUGCUCUUAUGAAGUUAGCGGCGGACGGGUGAGUAACACGUGGGUAACCUGCCCAUAAGACUGGGAUAACUCCGGGAAACCGGGGCUAAUACCGGAUAACAUUUUGAACUGCAUGGUUCGAAAUUGAAAGGCGGCUUCGGCUGUCACUUAUGGAUGGACCCGCGUCGCAUUAGCUAGUUGGUGAGGUAACGGCUCACCAAGGCAACGAUGCGUAGCCGACGUGAGAGGGGAAUCGGCCACAGUGAGACAGAGACACGGACCAGACUCCUACGGGAGGCAGCAGUAGGGAAUCUUCCGCAAUGGACGAAAGUCUGACGGAGCAACGCCGCGUGAGUGAUGAAGGCUUUCGGGUCGUAAAACUCUGUUGUUAGGGAAGAACAAGUGCUAGUUGAAUAAGCUGGCACCUUGACGGUACCUAACCAGAAAGCCACGGCUAACUACGUGCCAGCCGCCGCAGUAA
Molecule: ribosomal RNA, 515 nt
Filed under: uncultured bacterium
Lineage: Bacteria
Description: partial 16S ribosomal RNA
Rfam family: Bacterial small subunit ribosomal RNA
Source: RNAcentral